GGAUUGUAGCUCAGUGGUAGAGUGCUUGCCUCACCCGUGUGAGGCCCUAGGUUCGAUCCUCAGCACCA
RNAcentral lists this transfer RNA (68 nucleotides) under Marmota monax (woodchuck). RNAcentral describes it as "tRNA.Val". The record is from RNAcentral. Lineage: Eukaryota; Metazoa; Chordata; Mammalia; Rodentia; Sciuridae.